CCUACGGGUGGCAGCAGUGAGGAAUAUUGGUCAAUGGACGAGAGUCUGAACCAGCCAAGUAGCGUGAAGGAUGACUGCCCUAUGGGUUGUAAACUUCUUUUAUAAAGGAAUAAAACGAGGCACGUGUGCCUUUUUGCAUGUACUUUAUGAAUAAGGAUCGGCUAACUCCGUGCCAGCAGCCGCGGUAAUACGGAGGAUCCGAGCGUUAUCCGGAUUUAUUGGGUUUAAAGGGAGCGUAGAUGGGUUGUUAAGUCAGUUGUGAAAGUUUGCGGCUCAACCGUAAAAUUGCAAUUGAUACUGGCAGUCUUGAGUACCGGAGAGGUCAUCGGAAUUCCUUGUGUAGCGGUGAAAUGCGUAGAUAUAAGGAAGAACACCAGUGGCGAAGGCGGAUGACUGGACGGCAACUGACGGUGAGGCGCGAAAGCGUGGGGAGCAAACAGGAUUAGAUACCCUUGUAGUC
This 460-nucleotide ribosomal RNA is filed under the name uncultured bacterium. RNAcentral describes it as "partial 16S ribosomal RNA". It matches the Rfam family "Bacterial small subunit ribosomal RNA", at positions 338 to 795 of the family's 1533-position model. The record is from RNAcentral.